Molecule: ribosomal RNA, 1287 nt
Filed under: metagenome
Description: bacterial SSU rRNA
Rfam family: Bacterial small subunit ribosomal RNA
Source: RNAcentral
UAGCUAGUUGGUGAGGUAACGGCUUACCAAGGCGACGAUCUGUAGCGGGUCUGAGAGGAUGAUCCGCCACACUGGAACUGAGACACGGUCCAGACUCCUACGGGAGGCAGCAGUGGGGAAUUUUGGACAAUGGGGGCAACCCUGAUCCAGCCAUGCCGCGUGAGUGAAGAAGGCCUUCGGGUUGUAAAGCUCUUUCGGCCGGGAAGAAAUCGCAUGGGCCAAUACCCUGUGUGGAUGACGGUACCGGAAUAAGAAGCACCGGCUAACUACGUGCCAGCAGCCGCGGUAAUACGUAGGGUGCGAGCGUUAAUCGGAAUUACUGGGCGUAAAGCGUGCGCAGGCGGUUUUGUAAGACAGGCGUGAAAUCCCCGGGCUCAACCUGGGAACUGCGCUUGUGACUGCAAGGCUAGAGUACGGCAGAGGGGGGUGGAAUUCCACGUGUAGCAGUGAAAUGCGUAGAGGUGUGGAGGAACACCAAUGGCGAGGGCAGCCCCCUGGGUCGAUACUGACGCUCAUGCACGAAAGCGUGGGUAGCAAACAGGAUUAGAUACCCUGGUAGUCCACGCCCUAAACUAUGUCAACUAGGUGUUGGGUGGGUAAAACCAUUUAGUACCGUAGCUAACGCGUGAAGUUGACCGCCUGGGGAGUACGGCCGCAAGGUUAAAACUCAAAGGAAUUGACGGGGACCCGCACAAGCGGUGGAUGAUGUGGAUUAAUUCGAUGCAACGCGAAAAACCUUACCUGCCCUUGACAUGCCAGGAACUUGCCAGAGAUGGCUUGGUGCCCGAAAGGGAGCCUGGACACAGGUGCUGCAUGGCUGUCGUCAGCUCGUGUCGUGAGAUGUUGGGUUAAGUCCCGCAACGAGCGCAACCCUUGUCGUUAAUUGCCAUCAUUUAGUUGGGCACUUUAGCGAGACUGCCGGUGACAAACCGGAGGAAGGUGGGGAUGACGUCAAGUCCUCAUGGCCCUUAUGGGUAGGGCUUCACACGUCAUACAAUGGUCGGUACAAAGGGUCGCCAAGCCGCGAGGUGGAGCCAAUCCCAGAAAGCCGAUCGUAGUCCGGAUUGCAGGCUGCAACUCGCCUGCAUGAAGUCGGAAUCGCUAGUAAUCGUGGAUCAGCAUGUCACGGUGAAUACGUUCCCGGGUCUUGUACACACCGCCCGUCACACCAUGGGAGCGGGUUCCGCCAGAAGUAGGUAGCCUAACCGCAAGGAGGGCGCUUACCACGGCGGGGUUCGUGACUGGGGUGAAGUCGUAACAAGGUAGCCGUAGGGGAACCUGCGGCUG